This 75-nucleotide transfer RNA is filed under the name Candidatus Nealsonbacteria bacterium CG_4_8_14_3_um_filter_39_7. RNAcentral describes it as "tRNA-Asp". It matches the Rfam family "tRNA". Rfam says of the family: Transfer RNA (tRNA) molecules are approximately 80 nucleotides in length. Lineage: Bacteria; Candidatus Nealsoniibacteriota. The record is from RNAcentral. RNAcentral also lists the same sequence under 2 other names.
GGGGCGGUAGGCUAAUUGGUAAACCUUUCGGCUAUCACCCGAAUAAUGCGGGUUCGAUCCCCGUCCGCUCCACCG